CAGUAGCCACGGUAAUACGAAGGGGGCUAGCGUUGCUCGGAUUUACUGGGCGCAAAGGGCGCGUAGGCGGGCUGAUAAGUCAGGGGUGAAAUCCCAAGGCUCAACCUUGGAACUGCCUUUGAUACUGUUUGUCUUGAGUUCGAGAGAGGUAAGUGGAACUGCGAGUGUAGAGGUGAAAUUCGUAGAUAUUCGCAAGAACACCAGUGGCGAAGGCGGCUUACUGGCUCGAUACUGACGCUGAGGCGCGAAAGCGUGGGGAGCAAACAGGAUUAGAUACCCCGGUAGUCCCUGUCUCUUAUAU
Molecule: ribosomal RNA, 301 nt
Filed under: uncultured bacterium
Lineage: Bacteria
Description: partial 16S ribosomal RNA
Rfam family: Bacterial small subunit ribosomal RNA
Source: RNAcentral